UAGCCUAGUGGUUAUGGCUAUGGAUCGUCAAUCCGGAGACGGCGGGUUCGAUUCCCGU
Non-coding RNA from Aedes albopictus (Asian tiger mosquito), 58 nucleotides. Lineage: Eukaryota; Metazoa; Arthropoda; Insecta; Diptera; Culicidae. The record is from Rfam.